RNAcentral lists this ribosomal RNA (429 nucleotides) under uncultured bacterium. RNAcentral's name for it is "bacterial SSU rRNA". It matches the Rfam family "Bacterial small subunit ribosomal RNA", at positions 773 to 1196 of the family's 1533-position model. The record is from RNAcentral.
AGGGAAUAGAUACCCCGGUAGUCCUGGCAGUAAACGGUGCGCGUUUGGUGUGGGAGGAUUCGACCCCUUCUGUGCCGGAGCUAAACGCGUUAAAAACGCGCCGCCUGGGGAGUACGGUCGCAAGAUUAAAACUCAAAGAAAUUGACGGGGCCCGCACAAGCGGUGGAGUAUGUGGCUUAAUUCGAUGCAACGCGAAGAACCUUACCUAGCCUUGACAUGCAUCUCUAAGUCGGUGAAAGCCGGCGAGUGUAGCAAUACACAAUUUGCACAGGUGCUGCAUGGCCGUCGUCAGCUCGUGUCGUGAGAUGUUGGGUUAAAGUCCCGCAACGAGCGCAACCCCUGUGAACUGUUGCCACCGACCUGGUCGAGCACUCUGUUCAGACUGCCCUGUGAACGGGAGGAAGGUAGGGAGUGACGUCAAGUCAGCAU